CGGCCGGUGAGGGAGUGCACCGUAGAGCAGCAGGGCAGCCACCUGCAGCCCACGGCGCAGGGAACAGAUUGCCCUGUCAGCUGUGGAGGAACUGUGGAUCUGCAAGGAAGGAAGAUGCUGCAGCUUGACCCGCUUGCCGGGCUCGAUCUCCACCAGGCGGGAGAAGAAAUCCACCCCCACGGUGGGGUCGCAGAGCAGCGGACCCGGGAAGCGGCCCUCGGUGAAGCGGUGCAGGAGGCAGGACUU
Long non-coding RNA from Mauremys mutica (yellowpond turtle), 246 nucleotides. RefSeq lists it as uncharacterized. The transcript has 3 exons. The record is from RefSeq and is a predicted model, not a curated record. NCBI's taxonomy places the organism in Eukaryota, Metazoa, Chordata, Testudines, Geoemydidae.